CCCUUUCUUAUGUAGCUUCUAUAGGUUCUGCGAGAAAAGUCUAAAUUUUCUGGAUCCAAACAAUAUAUUAAAACUUCACCACUAGUGAUCAAGGCUGUGAAUGACUUAAAACAUUGUGGGAAUUACCUUCUAUCCUGAUAAAAUCAUAUGAAAAUAUCAGUCACCAGUUGGAUGGAACCCUACUGUUCUUCAGUACCCAGGACUCAGCAGGCAGAAGUGAAGAAGCUUUUUUAUUUUUCUCUGCCGAGACUGGGUCAGUCAGAGAAGCAGACAAAGUGUUGAAGAGCUCUCCACCUUCACCCUAGAGCAGAGAGAGAUAAUUCUUUGCUCUUGGCUGUUGUAUUUUAUGUAAUUAGGAUAUAUUUUUUCAAUCAUUCCGGAUGCAUUCAAGUUGUAAGUGGCUCAGGACGCACACAGUGAAUUAUUAUACUGUUGGCCUAUACUGGAAGCUUUAUGAGCUGUUCUGCAUCCUGAUUUGUUAGAGGAAGAUGAAACCCCAUAAAAGUGAAGCUGAAAGCUACAGAAAACAUUACUGCUUUGUUUUUCCUAUUUAUGAAGCACUGAACUGUAGAGUACUCUAAUGAUAGCUUGUAUUAAUUUUAACAAACUUGAAAAUCUUGCUGACUAGUCUAACAUUUAGGUGCUUUUUCAUUCUCUUUCUCAUCAACCUUUAGCUUUUUGCUGGAGGCACCACAUUUGUUAUGUUAGUGUAAGUAGAUAAUUACAAACAGUGGUAAAAUGAAACUCCACCACUGGUAAAGCUGAGAGGUUUUUAAAAGUUUCAUCCCACCCAGCUACAAAAAAUUUAAUUUAAAUUAAAAUAUAUGGCUUGUGAUUGUGAACAUAUCAGUUUUAUUACCAUAAAACUUUUUUUUUUUUUUUUUGGUGCUGCUUUUUAAAUAGCUUCAAUUCUGUUAAAAAAUAUGGAAAACAUUCCACUUCCUAAAACUAGCAUUGGUUUUUGGUUCUUGUUUUCUACUUACACAUGAACACUUACACAUGAAUUUGGCUUCAGAAACUACCUAUGGGAUUUGGUGGGGGGAGGAAAAGUAAUCCCUCUUCCUACAGAUCUGUUUUUAACUAAAGGUUAAAGUGUGUAGCAGUUGAAACUCAGGUGAUCCUGAGUUGUCUGUCGCAGGUGAUCUUUAGCCUUUUGUAAGCAGGGAGUUAUUUUGCAAAGACACGGGGGAUGUAUUGUAUGGGGGGUAGGUUAUAAUGCUUGAUCUUGUACUGAAGGCUUGAAGAAAAGAAUACUAAAGAGGGAAUAAUAAGUGGUAAGAGA
Cyanistes caeruleus (blue tit) is the source of this 1282-nucleotide long non-coding RNA. NCBI's taxonomy places the organism in Eukaryota, Metazoa, Chordata, Aves, Passeriformes, Paridae. The record is from Ensembl.